AUCCGGAGGGGCGGCACGCGACCUCGGGAGCGCCCCCGCCUCCCUCUGGCCGCCGCGGGCUCGGUGAGCUUCUUCCCUCCAGCCGGCAGGCUGGGCGCGCAGGGGCGCGGGUCCCCGCCCGGCGCGCAGAGGCACCAUGGGCACGGUGCUGUCCCUGUCCCCCAGCUACCGGAAGGCCACGCUGUUUGAGGAUGGCGCGGCCACGGUGGGCCACUACACGGCCGUGCAGAACAGCAAGAACGCCAAGGACAAGAACCUGAAGCGGCACUCCAUCAUCUCCGUGCUGCCGUGGAAGAGGAUCGUGGCCGUGUCGGCCAAGAAGAAGAACUCCAAGAAGGUGCAGCCCAACAGCAGCUACCAGAACAACAUCACGCACCUCAACAAUGAGAACCUGAAGAAGUCGCUGUCGUGCGCCAACCUGUCCACGUUCGCCCAGCCCCCGCCGGCCCAGCCGCCCGCCCCCCCUGCCAGCCAGCUCUCGGGUUCGCAGACCGGGGUCUCCUCGUCCGUCAAGAAGGCCCCGCACCCUGCCGUCAGCUCCGCAGGGACGCCCAAACGGGUCAUCGUCCAGGCGUCCACCAGCGAGCUGCUGCGCUGCCUGGGCGAGUUUCUCUGUCGCCGGUGCUACCGCCUGAAGCACCUGUCCCCCACGGACCCUGUGCUCUGGCUGCGCAGCGUGGACCGCUCGCUGCUGCUGCAGGGCUGGCAGGACCAGGGCUUCAUCACGCCGGCCAACGUGGUCUUCCUCUACAUGCUCUGCCGGGAUGUCAUCUCCUCCGAGGUGGGUUCCGACCACGAGCUCCAGGCGGUCCUGCUGACCUGCCUGUACCUCUCCUACUCCUACAUGGGCAACGAGAUCUCCUAUCCGCUCAAGCCCUUCCUGGUGGAGAGCUGCAAGGAGGCCUUUUGGGACCGCUGCCUCUCCGUCAUCAACCUCAUGAGCUCCAAGAUGCUGCAGAUCAACGCUGACCCCCACUACUUCACGCAGGUGUUCUCCGACCUGAAGAAUGAGAGCGGCCAGGAGGACAAGAAGCGGCUCCUCCUCGGGCUGGACCGGUGAGCCCGCUAGCCUGCAUCAUGGCUCAAGGAUUCAAUUCAUUUUUAAAAAUUUAUUCUUAAAUCAGAUUUUGUGUACAGUAUGUGUCUAGCAAAGCCACCAAGGGCCUCUCCCUUCCCACCUCCCCUCCUUGGGGUUUUCCUCCGCCCUGCCAAGAACUCUGGGCGCUUCUGAACUCCCGAACCUUGUGCAACAUUCAGAAGAUGUAUUCAGAGCCACUCCAGCCCCUGACCUCUCACUCCGGGGAACUGAAAGGACUGACCGGCCUCUGCCGCCUGUGCCCUUGCUGGACCAAGGCAGGGAAGGCGGCCCACAGCCAGGCAGCCCAGGGAGGAAUGGGAGUUUUUGGUUGGAGGCCAUUUUCUGGCUCCUGUUUUGGGUCGUCUGUUCUCCCAGAGGCUCCUGGAGCCGGCCACCUGGACUGCGCUGCACGUGGGCUCAGGAGGCCGAACGCCCGUGGCCCUGGGACAGCCUCUUCAAUCGAGGGGAAGCCGGCCUGGUGCGAAGAUCAUGUCCUCUUAAUUUGGCCAUGCACGACCCUGGUUUGCUCUUUUUUCUUUUUUAGGGAGAAGGGCUUUCCUUUGUGGAGACAUGGAACCGCCCCCACACCCCCUCCUCCAAACCUCCCCUCCUUCGUCCCCCACCCCCAGUCCUGUUGGUAGUGUUGGUUAAUGAGCUGGUUUGACUCACUAAGUUUGUUCAUUUUGGGUCCCGGCUCCCAAGGGGUGGGGUGAUGCCAGGGACAACUCCUUUCUUGGGUGAAUUUUUCAUUUGAAUCAUGCAGCUUAGUCAUCCCGUGGCGAAGGCCAGGGCAGCUGCAGGUGCCCAUUGUCAACAGCCUGCCUCCCGGGCAGGUGGGGCUGCCAUGCCUGGGACUGAGCCGGUGCCCAUCGGCUCAGGCUCCUGCUGAUGCCCAUGACAUUUGCCCUGCGGAGCUGCAGGGGUUGGGGCGGGGGUGAUGUCAGGGAUCAGGGUGAUGUGGUAAUGAUGCACCCCUCCCCUCACCCCCUGUUGAUUUAAAGCUGUUUCCAAACAGUUGAGUCUCUCCUGAAGACGAAGCCUUGUCCCGAAAGGCCCAGUGAGACAGCUGGAUCUUGGAGACAAUUACGAGCCGGGAGCUGAACUCCUGACUGCCUGCUGAUUCUCCCACUGAUCAUUGCAGCUGCUUGUUUGGGUCUCCACCUUCAACCCCAGUGGCUGUAAAAACCCAUGAUGUGUCACUUCAUUUUCUUUCUGAUUCUCCCAGAUCGGUGGCUGGGGGCUUGGGAGAGAACCCAGAGAAGGGAGCUAGUCGCCUGUGAUCCCUCUGGCUUUGGGGAACAAAGACUGAUGUGAAGGCCCACAGAGAAUUCUCUCUUCCAGUCUCAACCCCCCAAGAGGGGCUGGAAGGGGAGGUUGGGGGUGGGGGAGGCAGGGGGCCGUUUUACAUAGGAUUAGCUUCCAGGUGGCUGCCAUUUCAGCACAAGCACUACUGAAAUUCACAUAAAAAAGAGAAAGCUGUGAAACUGAGGUCCCGAUUUAAUAGGCCCGGCGUCGAGCCUGCGGGCCCCGUGGUGCUCGCGAGAACGAGGGCUUGCCCCAAGCUGGGAGUAUGGGCCUCAGCUGCGCCCCGAGGCUCACGCUGAGCUGCUCCCAGCACCGCCGGCCAGAUUUACCUGCCGCAGGGCUGGAAGGAACCCGCGGCUGCCGGCGGGGACCUCGCGUGCAGCGCUUCUUCUCCGCGGGAGUUGUCACACAGCCUGUCUGUGUAGAUCCUGCUGCCGUGUGUGACCUGAGGUCUGUAAAGAAGGAAGCCAGCAUGAAAUCACAAGUCAAAGCUUGAUGAGCACAACAAAAGAAGAUCCUACUGUAUCAGGUCAUUUGAAACUCCAAACUGACUUUUAUUAUGACAGUUGGAUAAAGUGAGUGAAUGCUUAUUGGUUUAGAUAUUAAAAUGAACCAUAAAUAUGGCGGUUAGGGUUAAGUGAGUGAUGAAUCUUAUGUCCUGGCUUAAUUUCUCAGGUUUUCAAAUGGAUAAUUCUAAAGCAAUGCCAAUUUAUUAGUUUCUAAGAAUUAGCUUUGAGUUGGAAAAAAAGAUAGUAUGAAUAAGAAAAUAUUAUUAUACAGUAUAUGUUUCAUUUUAAAGUUUGAAUUAUUUCUUGGGAUCAGACCUGGGUCUGAUCUGUAGAAUUUUCCACUUGACAACCUUUGUUCUGUGUGCUUAGUCGCUCAGUUGUGUCCAACUCUUUGUGACCCCAUGGACUGUGGCCCGCCAGGCGCUUCUGUCCAUGGGGAUUCUCCAGGCAAGAACACUGGAGCGGGUCACCAAGCACUCCUCCAAGGGAUCUUGACAGCCUUAAACACUGGCAAUCUUCCAACAAUUGUUACUGACUUCUUUUUUAGGCUUCAUUACCCAGGAUUUCAUUUUGGUGGUUUAAAAAAAAAAAAAAGUCUGAUGAAUCGCAUCCUUUCACAGUUAGAAAUUGAAGGGUUCACACUUCUUGUCAGCCGGAAGUGGAGGUUGGGAAGAAUUCUAUUUUUGGAGUUGAAAGGCCACCUUUGACCCAGAAAUGUGUGGUUUCAUGAAAGAUGUCCCUCUGUUCUGUCUUUCUUGAUUUACCCAAGGAAUGGAGAAAUGCUUAAGAGGGUCACUUCAUCAGACUUGUUUCCUCCCAGUGCCCUAGGACAACCUUAUUGACCAUAUCUAAAGAAUUUUAGAUUUUCAGGUGUUUAAUUUGGUGUUAUGUGAUCCAUGUCACAAUAAUUUAACUUUAUGUUAUUCAAAAUUUUCCAAGUUGAAAUCUUGACUCUUUUUCUAAGAUGUGAGGAUUUACUCUUCUAGAUCAGGGGAUAAGAGAUGAACAGUCUGAACCAAGGGUUGAUCAUUAAGUAGCAAAGGGAUCCUAGAGAAAGAAAUGAAUCCACAGAGAAGGGAAAUGUAGCCUAGUACACUGCUUGGCUCUGAAGGAAACAAUGUUUAUAAAGUUAGAGUGAUAUAAAGAGCAGUUAUUGGUUUUCGGCUUUACAGUCAAUCACCAAAGUGUGAAACAAUGUAAAUAUUAAUAUUAACAAUGUGUAAAAGUAAAGUUCUAGGUGCCAGAAGUUCAAGCAAGACACACAUCUUCAUUCCACACAGUGGUGCUAAGAGAGAGGUCUGAAAUUGAUGGAGCAUGAAAAAGAGAUUCUUGUAUAUAUUUUUGUAUUUCACAGAUUCUAAGAGCUCACAUCUUUCAACCAUUAAUAAAUUUUUAUAUAAUUUUAAUCAAUCAUUUCUGGGCUGUGCUGCUACUUGCAGCAUGUUACUUGUGCUGUGAUCACUUGUCUUCGCUGCUACUUGCAGGCUUUCUCUAGUUGCGGUGAGUGGGGGCUGCUCUCUGGUUGAGGUGCGUGGGCUUCUCAUUGUGGGGGCUUCUCUUGUGGUGUUCUAGGGUGAGCACCCUUUAGUAGUUGUGGUGUGUGGGCUCAGCAGCCCCUCAGCAUGUGGAAUCUUCCUGGACUGGGGAUCAAACCCAUGGCCCCUGAGUGGGCAAACAGAGUCUUAACCACUGAACCACCAGGAAAGUUCUAAUAUAUUUGAAACUGGGAUGCUCCUUACUCUUGAGAAUACCUUAUAAGUAUAAUUGGCAGUGUUGUUUUCCUUAGUGGAACAGACAAUAAUGGCACAUCUUAGAUUUGACAAUGCAGUAUUUUGAGUUGUAAAAAGUAGUAAGUAACUAAAGAUAAUGAAAAAAAAAAAAUUGGGAGGGAGUGACCAAAGACAGCUAAAUAAACCAUCAUCUCUUAGAAUCAAAGGUUAAUAGAAAAUGUCUAAACUUGAUAAAUUUUAAAAAAUGACAGCAUGAGUCUGUUGUUUAUAUAUCUUUUCAUUUUAAACCCUUCCAUUGUUUUUUUUUUUUUUUUUAAUUUUUUUUUUUGGGGGGGGUGAGUGGAGCACAUGGUGCAGUUUAUAGGAUCUUAAUUCCCUGACCAGGGAUUGAACCCAGGUCCGCAGCAGUGAAAGCCAAAGUCUUAACCACUGGACUCCUGGGGAAUUCCCCACUAUUUGAUUUUUAAAAAACCAGACUGUAUCAGGUUCUUGUGGAUAUUGUAACAAAUUACCACAGUCUUGGUGGCUUAAAACAGAAAUUUACUCUCUCCUAGUUCUGGAGGCCAGAAGUCUGAAAUCAAGAUGUCUCUAAGGCCAUGUUCCUUCACAGAGUCAAGGGUUCUUCUCCUCUUCUAGCUUCUGGGAGCUGCCAGCAUUUCUGCAUCAUGCCAGUCUCCGUCUCUGUCUUCACAUCACCGUCUCUGUGAGUUCAAAUCUACCUCUGCCUUUCUCUUAUAAGCACACUGUAGUAGCACUUAGGACCUACCUGGAUAAUCUAGGACAAUCUCCCAAUUUCAAGAUCCUUAAUUAUAUCUGCAAAGACCCUGUAUUCCAAAUAAGUAACAUUCACUGAUUUCGAGUACUAUUAGGCUAUGGACAUAUCUUUGGGAGCCAUUAUCAGCCUACUCAUGCAUUAGUUUGAUUUAAAAAAAAAAUCCUAAGUUAUUCUACAAUUUGAAGUUUUUCAGUGACUACCCAUAGCUUCCAGGAUCAAGUUCAAAUGAUGUAUUGGUUAAAAAUAUAGUCUCUAAAGCAAAAGCACAAGAAACAAAGGAAAAAUAGGUCAACUGGACUUCAAGAUUAAAAACUUCUGUGCUUCAAAGGAUACCAUCAAGAAAGUGAAAAAACAACUCACAGAGAAAAUAAUAUAAAUGAUAAGAAACUUCUAUCUGGAAUAUACAAAGAGCUUUUAGAAUUCGAUAAUAAAAAGACAAAUAGCAAUUGUUAAAUGAGCAAUAGACAUUUCUUUAAGGAAGAUAAAAAACUGACCAAAAAACACAUGAAAGGAUGCUCUACAUCAUUAGUCACUUGUGAAAUACAAACCAAAACACAGUGAAACACCACUUCAUACUAACUAGGAUGGUGACAAUAAAAAAGACAGAUAACAAACAACAAGUCCUGGCAAGUGACGGAGAACCUGGAACCCUUAUGCACUGUUUGUGGAUUACUCAUUAUUCACAAUAUCCCCAAAGUGGAAACAACUCAAAUGUCCUUCCACUGACAAAUGGAUACAUAAAAUGCAGUCUAUCCAUAUAAUGGAAUAUUAUUUGGCAAUAAAAAGGAAUAAGGAAUAUGAUACAUUGCUAUAACAUAGAUUAGCCUUGAAAAUACUACACCAAGUGAAAGAAGCCAGUCACAAAGGACCACGUAUUGGAUGAUUCCAUUAUGUGAAAUGUCUAGAGUAGACAAAUCUAUAGUGAUAGAAAAUGGAUUAAUGGUUGGUUGGGGUAGGGGUCUAGAGGGAAUGGGGGAUGGGUAUGGGAUUUCUAUUUUUUAAAAAAUUAUUUAGUUAUUUAUUUUUGGCUGCACUGAGUCUUCGUUGCUGUGCAAGGGCUUCCUCCAUUGCGGCGAGUGAGGGCUGCUCUCUAGUUGCAGUUGUAGGUGUUUCCUUGCGGUGGCUUCUCUUGCCGUGGAGCACAGGCUCCGAAACUUGGGCUCUGGUAGCUGUGGCGCACAGGCUUAGUUGCCCGGCAGCAUGUGGGAUCUUCCCGGACCAGGGAUUGAACCCAUAUCCCCUGCAUUGGCAGCCAGAUUCUUAACCACUGGACCACCAGGGAAGUCCUGAUAUUUCUACAUGGGGUGAUAAAAAUGUUCUAAGUGGAUUGUGGUAAUGGUCACACAACUCUGAAUACACUAAAAACCAUUGAAUUACAUGCUUUAAAUGAGUGAAGUAUAUGACAUGUGAGUUCUGUCAGUAAAGCUCUUAGAUAGACGAUAGAUCAGUAGAUAGGACAGUCCACAGACUCACAGUCUUUGGUCCAGUCUCAGCUCCGUGAGAACGUGUAGAUGGAUAAGGGAACAUGCAUGGACGACCUCAGCACAGUUCCUGGCACACGGUAGAUACCCUACCUGUGACCACUGUUAUUAUCCACCUGGCAUUUGAUCACUGUGGGACUUGGUCCUUGCCUACCUCCGGCCCCUUUACACCCCCUUAGCCCCUUUUCAGGGCAGUUGCCACCCUGCAUCCCCUGCAGCUAUGCUAUCUCUUAAGAGUCCCCUGAAACAGGCCCAGCACACCCUGCUUUUACUAGAAUACCCUCUCUCUCCCCUGCCUUCACCCAGUUAGCUCCUCUUUUGCUCCCCUCCUGUGUUUCCUGAGCCCUCUGUCUCCCAGGAAGCAUCCCCUAUGGGCCCUAAGACCGCCUGCCCUUCCUGCCUGGUCAGCUGUGGUCCCCACCGCUCUGGGUACAGAGUCUCUCGUGACACUCGCUAUGCUCCAUGGCAUCUGUCUGCUGUGUCUUACUCAUCUUUCCACGCUCAGUGCCAAGCAGAGUGACAAAAAGUUCAGAAGUGAACAUGCUAAAUGGCCGCUGGGCCUAAAGAGAAUUACUGCUGCACCAGCAGUAGAGCAAAAUCUUUCCCAGGAGAGAAGAAAGAUUUUUCUCUUGUUUUCCAGGCAGAAGAAGUCUGUUUCUCUGGGGAUGGGGAGCUUGGCACGACUGCCCUUGUGCCUUAUCUUCCACAUGGACACACGCAGACCUGCCCGCCGCCUGCUUCCCAUGGAGUGAUGGAGGGAUGGAUGCAGGCCUGCCUUGUGACCCUGUCGGUUUAUUAGCACUUUAC
Dama dama (fallow deer) is the source of this 7685-nucleotide RNA transcript. It is a transcript of the gene named cyclin dependent kinase 5 regulatory subunit 1, with no coding region annotated. The record is from RefSeq and is a predicted model, not a curated record. The transcript has 2 exons. NCBI's taxonomy places the organism in Eukaryota, Metazoa, Chordata, Mammalia, Artiodactyla, Cervidae.